AAAGGAAUCUAAAAAAUGCAGUCAACUCGGGCAGAUUUGUUUCGUUGCGCAGUGAAAACAACGAACCUAAAAUUCAUAUUUGAAAAACGUCACCUGCCUGGCACCACCUACUAACAUUAUUCGUACUGAGCGACGCGGCUAAUUCUGUGCAGAGUAGUCUACAGUGCACACACCUCAACGUGACAGUGUUACAACUGACGACCAAAUUAAGAAGAUGAGUUCUGGAAAAACACUGCAGAACGCUGCCCAGGUCAACCAACUUUCGGCGACUCCAAGCUUAACAAAGAGAAAAUAUGUAAAAGAAAAGACAACCGUUAGAAGCCCCACAGACAGCCUGCUCUCCCCAUGCACACAACGGCUAAUGAGGACGAGAGCUGCUAAAGACGCGCAGUCAGAAUUUCAGGUACCAGCGUUUAGUACAGAAGAUAAGGAAAAUGCUCCCUCAUAAGUAAAUGUGUGGGUAGAAGGCCGGCUUCUUCAACUGUCUGCAUUUUCCUGCGUUGUUCUGGCUGGACAAAGGGGCUUGCGGUCUGAGAGACAGCUGGGCCUGAAUUAUAAUGCUCUAUUGUAUAAUGUAAUAAAUAUACUUGUGUGGUCAUAACUGAUCUCUGGUCCCUCAGAAUAAGAAAACAUAUCAGAUUUCAUUAGGUGAUUUAUGCUUCUGUGUAUCAAGUUCUAAAGAAGACCCGGGGAUGCCAUGAUGUAGUAAUUAGUGACAGGUUAAGAGUUGAUGUCUUGAUGUGCUGUCUUAAAUAAACUAUAAUUUGGGCCCAUACACCAUGGAGAAUGAAGGACUGAACUUAUCAGUGAGCUCUGAUCUCCAUAAUCUCAAACAGAGGCUAGGAUUCAAGCAGCAUCUGUCCUAAACUUGACCAAAAAUUAAAAGCAGUAUUUUAUUCAUUUGGCAAGGACAGCAAUCACUAAGACCAACUUACUGAAUUUAUGACGAAAGUGGGUAACACUUGCGUUUACUCUUAAAUCAAAGUUAUGGACAAAUGUUGAUUGAUACAGACCACAGUAUUUGAAGAUUAUAAUGAACCAUGAUUUACAUGGUGUGUAAAACUGAAUUACAUGUGUAUAUAUAUAUAGAGAGGGAGCAUAUGUUUAGAAUACCGAUGUGUACUACUGAAGGCUGCUUCCAAGUGAACUUGCUGCUUAUGUGUUAGCUAUGUUUCCCCUUUUGCACACUCUGAACUUAACAAAAAAGUUUGUCAUGUUUAUUUUUCUUUAUGCAUCCCUUUAUGCAAAUCAAAUUUCUGCAUGCAGGUGCGUGGGUGUCAUACUUAAUUAAUUGGCCGUCAUAUCAAUCUUGCCUGCCAAAAUUUUUGGGAAAGGGGUGAGAAUUUAGUAAGAGGCAGAAGAAUAAAAAUACGAUGAUGAUGAUGAUGAUGAUGAUGAAACAAUAGGGGUCCUAUGCACCCUUGGUGCUUGGCCCCCUAAUGACAAAUUCCCUGGAGAAUAAAUGUCAAUGUAGGCCAACAUAUACUAUGCUAACCUAAAUAAGACAUCUCUUGGUAUUAUCAUCUGCAGAUACAUAAAAAUGUGUUAUUCAUGUUUAUUUUUCCCUUAAUAAAUAAAAUUUAAAUUACACAUA
Long non-coding RNA from Anguilla rostrata (American eel), 1594 nucleotides. RefSeq lists it as uncharacterized. NCBI's taxonomy places the organism in Eukaryota, Metazoa, Chordata, Actinopteri, Anguilliformes, Anguillidae. The record is from RefSeq and is a predicted model, not a curated record. The transcript is spliced from 4 exons.